AUAUCAUAUUCGCGUGGGCCAAGUUCUGUUCAACAGUUGUACAUGAAGUGAUGGCCGCAAUCAAACGAAUAAAGAACCUGGGUGAUUUUUGGCCUGAUUCAUUGAAAAGCUGCUCUGAAAAAAUCACAGGGGAUGAUAAAUUUAGAUAAGAAUGAUCAACCACCAACAUGCAACACUUACUGGAACUUGAAAAACCUACAAUUCACAAGAACAAGCCAAAGACUAGUAUUACCGUACAAAGUGGUUGAGGGUAUGCUCCCAGCUAUCCAAACCUGACAAAUUAUUGGUACAAUGUAACAAGCAAUCUUUACUAAAAGGAACAUCAAGCCGACAUGCUUUGCAGACUUUGAACAUGAUUAUUUACAAAUUUGGUUAAGGCUAUUGAAACAACAAACUGUGAAAACGAGUAAUUUAAAAACUCAUUCUUCUUCAAAACUGUGAUUCAUUGAAAGAAGACGUAGUGUGAGCCAAGUCAGUUGAGAGCUUUAAAACAGCUCACCAAGGCCGUCAAUAGGAGUCCGCUCUCCCAUCAAGUUCACACCAGAAUUGGGACCUUCGAUGUAACAAUGCAGAUACAUAUAGCAUGAAAACUUUUAUAUAAUGAACAUUUAUAUUUAUAUCUAUUGAUGUUUCAGUACAAGUAUGAUUAUUUGUUUUUGUUGUGAUAUAUGACAUACAUGUAUAGUAUAAACAAUUUUGAGAAAGUGAUAUCUGUAAACAUGCCAGUUCCUUGAAAAUGUUAACAAACUUAUGUGUCAACUUAUUCAUUCAUCUAAAAAGUAUUACAAGCCAAUAUUAUAAUUCAAUAGAUUAAGACUAUAAAAUCAGUUUUGACCUAGUCCUGUUCAAGUUUAUUAAGGUCAAAAUAAGAUAAAACAAAGUUUCAUAAUAUAUAAUAUCAAUGUAGGAGCAAACGGUGAAAAUAAUUUAGAUCCUAGUGCUAUAUGAGAUGGGUGACAUGUAUUUAGAUCCUGGUGCUCUAGAGGGGUGACAUUGAGUUGGAUCUGUUUGCUCAAACUAAAAUUUACAGUGCUUUAAAAAAUAAUAAGUGAUCAUGCUUUAUAAAGUUAUAAACUGUUAGGUACAAUCUGUAUACUUACUUCCUGACAAUUUUAUUUUUACUUCUAAGUAUUUUAAAAUGUAAACUUUGAAGUAGGAAGACAUAAAAUAACUGAUAAGUCUUACUUUGUUCUUUUUUUUUU
Mytilus trossulus (common blue mussel) is the source of this 1202-nucleotide long non-coding RNA. RefSeq lists it as uncharacterized. The transcript has 2 exons. Lineage: Eukaryota; Metazoa; Mollusca; Bivalvia; Mytilida; Mytilidae. The record is from RefSeq and is a predicted model, not a curated record.